GAGGGUAUAGCUCAGUGGUAGAGUAUCUGCGUAGCAUGUACAAGGUCCUGGGUUCAAUCCCCAGUACCUCCA
This 72-nucleotide transfer RNA is filed under the name Camelus bactrianus (Bactrian camel). It matches the Rfam family "tRNA". From Rfam's summary of the family: Transfer RNA (tRNA) molecules are approximately 80 nucleotides in length. Their secondary structure includes four short double-helical elements and three loops (D, anti-codon, and T loops). Lineage: Eukaryota; Metazoa; Chordata; Mammalia; Artiodactyla; Camelidae. RNAcentral also lists the same sequence under 2 other names. The record is from Rfam by way of RNAcentral.